This is a long non-coding RNA of Ficedula albicollis (Collared flycatcher), 1951 nucleotides long. The record is from Ensembl. Lineage: Eukaryota; Metazoa; Chordata; Aves; Passeriformes; Muscicapidae.
AAUUAUUUCUUACCCUUAUCCCAUUCAACCUCAAAUUUCUCCUUUUAUUCAUAUCUGAGCCCUACUGGACAAAUGGAAAAAGAAUGAGAGAGGGAAAAAAACCCUUAAAUAUGCAUUUUCUUUUUUUUAUAUGUUUAAUGAUUCAAGUACUGUUUACCAGAAAGAGAAAAAAGAAAGUAAAAUCUAAAUUGCUAAAUCUGUAAGUGGAAUGUGUAUCCUAAGCUUCUACUUACCAAUGUCAGCUCUCAUGAUUUAGAAGCCACUUGCAAGUAGUUGUUUUAAUUUAUCAAUUCAAAUAAUCCCUUACAGCAACUUUGCAGUUCAUCCAGAAAUCAUCUUCAGGAAGCCAGUCCUUAAGCUGAAAACUAUGAAGGAAGAGGCUGGAAAAGGUCCCUUCACCUGCCACGGCCAGACGGUGAUGACACAGCCUUGAAGAUGAGAACCGGAGUGUGCGCUGGAUGGGAUGGCCAGUGGCUGCAGUCCACACUGAGGGGAGUGUCACUGCUGCAUCACUUUGGAGAUACAACCAUUCACCUGCCACGGCCAGACGGUGAUGACACAGCCUUGAAGAUGAGAACCGGAGUGUGCGCUGGAUGGGAUGGCCAGUGGCUGCAGUCCACACUGAGGGGAGUGUCACUGCUGCAUCACUUUGGAGAUGACCAGAACAGUAUGGUUUAGCCCAUAAAGGCUAGUUUAUUUUCAUCCAGUUCAGAGACACAAGAGGUGCACUGGAAUAAGCUGUAGACAAGGUAUAAAAGCACUCAAAAGGAGGGAAGAAAUCAUCUUGUGCAAUCCUAAAUUAAAGUUUUUGUUUAAUCACAAUUUUGCCCUAGGGUUUUGGCUGUUCAGAAGAAUGAGCUAUAUAAUCUCUUAGUCCUUUGACACUCAAGAACUAGAAGUCCUUAGAAAUCUGACUUUUGGAAGCAGUGAUGCUAAGGAGAGACACAUUGGUAACCUGGAGCAUCACUUGCCUAGCAUGCAGGAGGUAUGUUACUGGGCUAAAAGCACAUAGUAUUGGCCAACACAACUAACUGCAGAUUAAAGGCUGCUGUCAGGAAUGCUCUUAGGCUCACCCUCACCUUCCAGCAUGGAUGGCAGCUGCUCAGUGUAUUUGGGGGGUAGUCAGAUAUUGUAUAUGUCCAUUGUUAAUGAGGUGGUCUAAAGAGACCACCUUACCAAGGUCAGAAGAGAUGACCAGCAAGCAGCUUUACCUGUCUCCUGCCCCUACAGGUAGAGAACACAGGGACAGUGUGCUUGUGCAGCUGCUGUUGUUGCACUCUGGACCGACCUGAUACGUUUCACGCUGGCUUUACAUGAAUUGUUUCCAAUGCACUCCACAAAAGCUGACACCUGCAGGCAUGUGUGGUACUGGAAACAGAGGCAAGGACAUAAUUUCCCAGAGCUGCCUGCAGACAUCACCCUUAUUUUUGACCCAUGAGACAGCUGGAACCAAUGCAAUAGGCCCUUGAGUAGGAGAAAAGCCGCUUACCACCAUUAAAGUGCUGGAGGACAUAUAUUCAAAGGAGCCCCCACAAAAAUGGCAGUGUCAAACCAAAGCUUAAGACCUCUGCCUAUGACCUUGUAUGGCACGGUCUCAGGCACUGAAAAGCAGAACAAGGGAGAGCAAAAGCACCUGGGGCCAUCAGAGCAUGGUGGGGAAUAUCUCACUCCAGUCACCUUGCACAAGCAGUGAGUGACCCCAUGCCCAGUCAGACUUCUUACCAGUAGUUUGGUACCUCUGCAAACCCAUUUUAGUCCAUGUCUGGUGCCAGAGCAUUCAUCACCUCAAAGAACUGUGCUCUCUCUGCAUUAAAAACAUCAUUCAGCUUUUUUGUAGUUGCUGGAAACAUCAAUGGGAAAUGCAGGACACAGGCUAAUGGCAAAGACAUGGCUGUAGGACAGGCCUGUCAACAAAACCCUUGCUAAGAGAGCAGACCACAGCAGAGGUGCA